RNAcentral lists this ribosomal RNA (497 nucleotides) under uncultured bacterium. Its description in RNAcentral is "partial 16S ribosomal RNA". It matches the Rfam family "Bacterial small subunit ribosomal RNA", at positions 28 to 507 of the family's 1533-position model. The record is from RNAcentral.
GAUGAACGCUGGCGGCGUGCCUAAUACAUGCGAGUCGAGCGAACGGACGAGAAGCUUGCUUUUCUGAUGUUAGCGGCGGACGGGUGAGUAACACGUGGAUAACCUACCUAUAAGACUGGGAUAACUUCGGGAAACCGGAGCUAAUACCGGAUAAUAUUUUGAACCGCAUGGUUCAAAAGUGAAAGACGGUCUUGCUGUCACUUAUAGAUGGAUCCGCGCUGCAUUAGCUAGUUGGUAAGGUAACGGCUUACCAAGGCAACGAUGCAUAGCCGACCUGAGAGGGUGAUCGGCCACACAGGAACUGAGACACGGUCCAGACUACUACGGGAGGCAGCAGUAGGGAAUCUUCCGCAAUGGGCGAAAGCCUGACGGAGCAACGCAGCGUGAGUGAUGAAGGUCUUCGGAUCGUAAAACUCUGUUAUUAGGGAAGAACAUAUGUGUAAGUAACUGUGCACAUCUUGACGGUACCUAAUCAGAAAGCCACGGCUAACUACGUG